This 202-nucleotide long non-coding RNA is filed under the name Lathyrus oleraceus (garden pea). RNAcentral describes it as "Pisum sativum (pea) long non-coding RNA (PSAT_LNC018468)". The record is from RNAcentral. Lineage: Eukaryota; Viridiplantae; Streptophyta; Magnoliopsida; Fabales; Fabaceae.
AAAACUCCUCAAAAGACAUCUUCUUCUUCUUUCACCAUUAUUGCACCUAUAAAGAAAAGGAAGAAGAUGAAAUUGAGGAACCUUUUGUCAUGAAGACAAAGGUUGUGGAAGUUGAAACUCAAAAGGUUGUAGAGGGAUCCAUUAAUAGAUGAGCAUAAUUAGUUAUGUCUACUCUGUUGGAACAAGCAAAGGAACAACCUGC